GAGGUGGAGAAACUCUGCUCUCACCUGUGCCCUACGUCCUGCAUCUAGAGGCUCUGUGUCAAAUUUCUUCAGUAAAGGAAACUUCAAGCUCUAGAAGUGGCCAUGAAGAUGUAUGGGAAGCAGGUCUCUUGAUCCAGUCUACCCUCUAAGGGAGGAAAUUGUGAAAGACCACAAAUACCAGGUGUGGGAAUUAUUGGAGUCAUGUCAGAAGCUACCUAAGGCAAGUAUGAUUGAAGUAUGAUUUUUAUAGCUCCAGCACCCACCCUCCAAC
Molecule: long non-coding RNA, 271 nt
Filed under: Callithrix jacchus (white-tufted-ear marmoset)
Lineage: Eukaryota; Metazoa; Chordata; Mammalia; Primates; Cebidae
Description: lncRNA (ENSCJAG00000054952.2)
Source: RNAcentral